UUGGCUAUCCCAAAGUGCAAGGGAAUGAUGGGUUUUCGAGACCCGCAUCUUUUCAAUCUGGCCAUGUUGGGCAAACACGGCUGGCGUAUUAUUACCAAUCCAAACUCACUGUGUGCUAGAGUUCUAAAGGGUCGGUAUUUUCCUGAUACUGACUUCAUGCGUGCUACAAUCCCCAAAUCUGCAUCGGCCACUUGGAGGGCAAUAGUAGCAGGA
This 213-nucleotide ribosomal RNA is filed under the name Triticum aestivum (bread wheat). Its description in RNAcentral is "partial small subunit ribosomal RNA". The record is from RNAcentral. Lineage: Eukaryota; Viridiplantae; Streptophyta; Magnoliopsida; Poales; Poaceae.